GACGAACGCUGGCGGCGUGCUUAACACAUGCAAGUCGAACGGGUCUGCCCUGUUUUUUGCGGGGUGGGUCAGUGGCGAACGGGUGAGUAACACGUGAGUAACCUGCCCCUCACUUCUGGAUAACCGCUUGAAAGGGUGGCUAAUACGGGGUGUUCUGGCUGUGCCGCAUGGUGUGGCUGGGAAAGAUUCACUUUUGUGGUGUUUUGGUGGGGGAUGGGCUCGCGGCCUAUCAGCUUGUUGGUGGGGUGAUGGCCUGCCAAGGCUUUGACGGGUAGCCGGCCUGGGAGGGUGGGCGGUCACACUGGGACUGAGCUACGGCCCAGACUCCUGCGGGAGGCAGCAGUGGGGGGUAUUGCACAAUGGGCGGAAGCCUGAUGCAGCGACGUCGCGUGAGGGAUGGAGGCCUUCGGGUUGUGAACCUCUUUCGCCGGUGAAGAAGGUCCUGCUCUUUGUGGUGGGGUUGACGGUAGCCGGGUUAUGAAGCGCCGGCUAACUACGUG
RNAcentral lists this ribosomal RNA (500 nucleotides) under uncultured bacterium. RNAcentral's name for it is "partial 16S ribosomal RNA". It matches the Rfam family "Bacterial small subunit ribosomal RNA", at positions 28 to 507 of the family's 1533-position model. The record is from RNAcentral.